GCCAGACCCACUGGAAACGCUGCUCCUUUGAAAACCUGUUGCCACCGGCUGCAAGCACAGGCUGAUGAUAAACAGAAGGAGAGGUGAAUUCAGCAUCUCUUCUGGAACGGGGAACAUCUGCCUCCAAAUACACCCUCAAAGACCAGCUGGUGCUCCAGCCCCCUACAGUUUUGCAGAUGCCAGGUUCACGGAGGUUGCGGGAAUCCAUCCAGAAUGCAAGAUAUUCCAGCAAGUAGUGAAAGAGGAGGCACUCUGCCUAGAAAAGAAUGAAUCUGUUUCAUCUGAUUUUAAAGCUCUUGACAAUUUUAGAUUCGCCUUGUCAUCAGUCACAGAGGAAACAGAAAAGAAUCGGUGAAGGAAAAUAACACCUCCCAAAUGAAACUCAUGCACUGUUUUAUAUCUGCCUUAUGACUACCUAGAGAUUAGUUUCUGUUACAACAUGGUGCUUUUUUAUUGGUUCAGGCACCUUUACAUGCUGAUAAUUUUUCUGUGCUUCACCCACACCUGCUUGACAAUUGACACAGCAUGACUGCAGCUUGAGUGUCAAUGUGAUGCAUCAG
Molecule: long non-coding RNA, 560 nt
Filed under: Cairina moschata (Muscovy duck)
Lineage: Eukaryota; Metazoa; Chordata; Aves; Anseriformes; Anatidae
Description: domestica (muscovy Duck (domestic type)) lncRNA (ENSCMMG00000002962.1)
Source: RNAcentral